RNA transcript from Arachis stenosperma, 6309 nucleotides. It is a transcript of the gene named dolichyl-diphosphooligosaccharide--protein glycosyltransferase subunit 4A-like, with no coding region annotated. NCBI's taxonomy places the organism in Eukaryota, Viridiplantae, Streptophyta, Magnoliopsida, Fabales, Fabaceae. The record is from RefSeq and is a predicted model, not a curated record. The transcript is spliced from 4 exons.
AUUCAUUCUUCUGCUGUAUUGGGUUUUCUUUGAAUUACGAUGUCAAUGGCGAGGCCUAAUCAGGAGGCAAUUGAGACAUUUAUGAGCAUCACUGGCAAUUGAUCUAAUCAGCGUUCGUUCAUAAACAGCACCAAAAAGAUUCACAACCAGCGAUUUCAAUAAAGAAAGUGGCUGAGAAACUGAGUUUGCAUUCAGAAGUAAAUCUGUUGAAGAUGCUGGUUUUUAGGGCAGCGCUUCAAAACAUUUGCAAUCACCAAAUGUUCGGUAAAUUGCCAAAGUUGUGGCAUGAGAAAAUCCAAAACAAAACAAAAUGGUGUGUUACCAAGUGGAUAUGCACGGAGGAUUGGGUCCUAAAUACAGAAAAAUUGGCUGAACUACGGAAGAUCUAGAAGGCUCAACGUAAAAAUUGUCUAAGUAGUAACCAAGUUGAGUGUCUCUUGUUGAAGCAAUCAUCGGCCAAGCUUCUUACCAGUGAAGCAAUCAAGUCCUUGAGGUAUGCAUUCAAGGUUAGUUUGAAUUCGAUCUCCAUUGCGAUACCUUCACUUUGAUCAGUUCUGAUUUCAUUUAUGUUGUCUACUACUACUACUAGUUUCUCUAUGAUACUCUUGAGCACGUAUCACUCUUGUUUAGAAUUGACUGCAGCACAACAUGAAUUUAGGUUUCCUCUUGCUGAGAGUUGCAACACUACUACUACUACUAUUACUUGUAGCACAACUUAAAACUACUACUUGUAGCACAAUUUGAAUUUAGGUUUUCUCUUACUUAGAGUUGACAAGUUGACAAUGAAACUACUACUUGUAACACUACUUGAAUUUAGAUUUUCUCUUGCUUAGAGUUGACAACACCACAACCACUACUACAACUUGAAUUUAGGUUUCCUCUUAGGUUUCUUCUUGCUUAGAGUUUACUACUACUACUACUACUACUACACAACUUGAGACUACUACUUGUAGUACCACUUGAAACUACAACUUGGAGCACAAUUUGAAUUUAGGUUUCCUCUUUCUUAGAGUUGACAAUAACACAACUACUACUUCGUCUUUCUUAUAGUUGACAACAACACAACUACUACUACUACUACUUGUAGCACAACUUGAAUUUAGGUUUUCUCUUACUUAGAGUUGCAACACAACUACUACUACUACUACUACUUGUAGCACAACUUGAAACUACUACUUGUAGCACAACUUGAAUUUAGGUUUCCUCUUGUUUAGAGUUGACAACACAACUACUACUUGUAGCACAACUUGAAUUUAGGUUUUCACUACUACAAAACUUGAGACUACUACUUGUAGCACAACUAGUUUAUGUUUCCUCUUGUUUUGUUUAGAGUUGACAACAACACAACUACUACUACUUGUAGCACAACUUGAAUUUAGGUUUUCUCUACCACACAACUUGGGACUACUACUUGUAGCACAACUUGAAACUACUACUUGUAGCACAACUUGAAUUUAGGUUUCCUCUUGCUUAGAGUUGACAACAACAUAACUACCACUACUAUUACUACUUUGUCUUGCUUAGAGUUGACAACAACACAAGUACACAACUACUACUACUACUUGUAGCACAAUUUGAAUUUAGGUUUUCUCAUGCUUAGAGUUGACAACAACACAACUACUACUAAUACUCAACUUGAGGUUUUCUCAUGCUUAGAGUUGACAACAACACAACUACUACUAAUACUCAACUUGAGACUACUACUUGUAGCACAACUUGAAACUACUACUUGUAGCACAACUUGAAUUUAUGUUUUCUCUUGCUUAGAGUUGACAAUAACACAACUAUUAUUAGAACUACUACUUCGUCUUGCUUAUAGCUGACAACAACUACUACUAUUUGUAGCACAACUUGAAUUUAGGUUUUCUAUUACUUAGAGUUGCAACACUACUACUAGUACUACUUGUAGCACAACUUGAAACUACUACUUGUAGCACAAUUUGAAUUUAGGUUUCCUCUUGCUUAGAGUUGACAAGUUGACAAUGAAACUACUACUUGUAACACUACUUGAAUUUAGAUUUCCUCUUACUUAGAGUUGACAACACCACAACCACUACUACAACUUGAAUUUAGGUUUUCUCUUCCUUAGAGUUGAAUUUAGGUUUCUUCUUGCUUAGAGUUGACAAAAACACUACUACUACUACUACUAGUACUACACAACUUGAGACUACUACUUGUAGUACCACUUGAAACUACAACUUGGAGCACAACUGGAAUUUAGGUUUCCUCUUCCUUCGAGUUGACAAUAACACAGCUACUACUUCGUAUUUCUUAUAGUUGACAACAACACAACUACUACUACUACUACUACUACUACUACUAUUACUACUUGUAGCACAACUUAGAAUUUAGGUUUUCUCUUGCUUAGAGUUGCAACACUACUACUAACACUACUGCUGCUGCUACUACUACUACUACUAUUACUACUUGUAGCACAAUUUGAAUUUAGGUUUCCUCUUGUUUAAAGUUGACAACAACACAACAACAACUACUACUACUACUAUUACUUGUAGCACAACUUGAAACUGCUACUUGUAGCACAAUUUGAAUAUAGGUUUCCUCUUGUGUGGAGUUGACAACAACAAAACUAUUACUACUACUACUACUUGUAGCACAACUCAACUUGAAUUUAGGUUUCCUCUUGUUUAGUGUUGUCAACACUACGAUUAAUACUACUACUACUUGUAGCACAACUUGAAACUACUACUUGCACAACUCAACUUGAAUUUAGGUUUCUUCUUGUUUAGAGUUGACAACAACACUGCUAUUAAUACUACUAUUACUACUUGUAGCACAACUUGAAACUACUACUUGUAGCACAACUUGAAUUUAGGUUUUCUCUUGUUUAAAGUUGACAACAACACAACUACUACUACUACUUGUAGCACAACUUGAAUAUAGGUUUUUUCUUGUUUAGAGUUGACAUCAACAAAACUAUUACUGCUACUACUACUUGUAGCACAACUCAACUUGAAUUUAGGUUUCCUCUUGUUUAGAGUUGACAACAACACUGCUAUUAAUACUACUACUACUUGUAGCACAACUUGAAUUUAGGUUUCCUCUUGUUUAGAGUUGACAACAACACUACUAUUAAUACUACUACUACUUGUAGCACAACUUGAAACUACUACUUGUAGCACAAUUUGAAUUUAGGUUUACUCUUGUUUAGAGUUGACAACACAACUAUUACUACUUCUACUUGUAGCACAACUUGAAUUUAGGUUUUCACUACUACAAAACUUGAGACUACUACUUGUAGCACAACUAGUUUAUGUUUCCUCUUACUUAGAGUUGACAACAACAUAACUACUACUACUAUUGCUACUUUGUCUUGCUUAGAGUUGACAACAACACAACUACUACUACUUGUAGCACAAUUUGAAUUUAGGUUUUCUCUUGCUUAGAGUUGACAACAACACAACUACUACUAAUACUCAACUUGAGACUACUACUUGUAGCACAACUUGAAUUUAGGUUUCCUUUUGCUUAGAGUUGACAAUAACACAACUAUUAUUAGAACUACUACGUCGUCUUGCUUAUAGUUGACAACAACUACUACUACUUAUAGCACAACUUGAAUUUAGGUUUUCUCUUGCUUAGAGUUGCAACACUACUAUGCACAACUUGAAACUAGUACUUGUAGCACAACUUGAAUUUAGGUUUCCUCUUGCUUAGAGUUGACAACAAUUCAACUACUACUACUACUUGUAGCUCAAUAGAAUUUCGGUUUCCUCUUGCUUAGAGUUGACAACAACACAACAACUACUAUUACUACUUUGUCUUGCUUAGAGUUGACAACAAUACAACAACUACUAUUACAUGUAGCACAACUUGUUUUCUCUUGCUUAGAGUUGACAACAACACAACUACUACUAAUACUUAACUUGAGACUACUACUUGUAGCCCAACUUGAAACUACUACUUGUAGCACAACAUGAAUUUAGGUUUCCUCUUGCUUAGAGUUGACAAUAACACAACUACUACUACAACUACUACUUCGUCUUGCUUAUAGUUGCUUAUAGUUGACAACGACACAACCACUACUACUACUUGUCGCUGACAAUUCAACUACUACUACUACUACUACUUGUAGCACUUGAAUUUAAAUUUUCUUUUGCUUAGAGUUGACAACAACACAACUAUUACUAGUACACAACUUGAGUCUACUACUUGUAGCAAACUUGAACCUACUACUUGUAGCACAGCUUGAAUUUAAGUUUUCUCUUGCUUAGAGUUGACAGUUACACAACUAUUCCUCUUUCUUAGAGUUGACAAUAGCACAACUGCUACUCUACUACUACUAGAUCCUCUUGUUUAGAGUUGACAACAACACAACCUGAACAAUUGUAGCACAACUUGAAUUUAGGUUUUCUCUUGCUUAGAGUUGAUUGCAGCAGAACAAUUUGAAUUCAGGUUUUCUCUUAGAUUUGAAUGCAGCACAACCUGAACAACUGUAGCACAAUUUGAAUUUAGAUUUUCUCUUGCAUAGAGUUGAUUGCAGGGCAACUUGAAUUUUGGUUUCUGUAUUGGUUCCAUCUUUUGAAACAAGGUGCUACUACUACUAGAUUCUCUUGCUUAGAGUUAAAUGCAGCACAACACAACUUGAACAACUAUAGCAUACUUGAAUUUAGGUUUCCUCUUGCUUAGAGUUGAUUGCAACACAACUUGAGUUCAGGUUUCAGUGUUGGUUCCUUCUUUUGAAACAAGGUACUAUUACUACCACUCCUUGAAUAACUCCAGCACCACUUGAAUUUAGGUUUCCUCUUGUUUAGAGUUGAUUGCAACACAACUUGAAUUCAAUUUUUAGUGUUGGUUCCUUCAUUUGAAACUAAUGUACUAUUAUUACUACUACUUGAACAACUAUAACACACCUUGAAUUCAGGUUUCUCUUACUUAGGGUUGAUUGCAGCACAACUUGAAUAACUGCAGCAUAACUUGAAUUCAGGUUUUCUCUUGCUUAGAGUUGACUGCAACUAUGCAUACUAGAAAGAGAGAAUGAGAAUUUCCGUGCAGUGUUGUUUCCUUAUUCUUUGAGCUUCGUUUGAGAUUUCUUUGUUAUGAUUUUUUAUAUCUAUCUUUUUGUAAUUGAGAAAAAGGCUAAAGUGAGAGAAUGAAAAAGUCAAAAUAAUUGUGUAUUUAGUUUUUGUUGAAUUAGGAUUAGUUCUUCUUAGCCAAGUUGGGAUAACACUUGGUAGUUGUUGAACCAUAUUAGAGUCUUCCUUAGUCAAGUUGGGAUAGCACUUGGUAUAGCACUUGGUGGAUAUUAGGUUUAGGUUAGAAAUUUAGUGGGGGAUACUAGAUGAAUUAGGUUGUAAUUCAUUGGUAUUGGUGCAUGUAAUUAGUUUGAUUAUAGUUGAAAUUUUACCAUGGUUGUGGUGGAGACUGGACGUAGGUUUCAUUGCACUUAGAAACCAAACCAGGAUACAUGUUUGUGUGGUUCUUUUUCUCUAUGUUUUGCUCUACUUUUGAGUCAACUCGCUUUCUCAAGUUCUAAGAUCUUGACAAUGGUUACAGGUUAAAAAUUCACUAUUAUUAUCACUAAUUACAACAUGAUAAUUAUAAAGAGUAAACCUAAUUCGUUAAUCUCUACAAAUUAAGGAAUGUCGAUUAAGCUUAAUUAACCUAAUUCAUAAAUGUUAACUAACUUAUUGAAUUUAGUAAAAAGUUAGUGUUAACAAAAACAAGGUUAAUUAAUAGUUCUAAAUUAUUAAUCAAUUUAGACAUUAGUAACUCAAGAUCACCAUAGUUUUCAAUUCAAUCCAAGAAUAAAAAAAUAUAUUUUAUAACUAGUUCAAGCAUUUUGUCAAAUAUUUAGAGUGCAUAAGGAUAAAACAUUAUAAAUCACAACAAUUGGUAAAAACUACAACUAUCUAAUUCAAGAACACGACAAUAACAUCUCAAAUAAGUAAGAAUAACAUAAAAUAUCAAAUUCAUUAAUAAAAAAACAUAAAUCCAACAAGAGGUUAUAAACUAAAUGACAAGAUAAAGAAAAAUAACAAGAGAAUCUAAGCAAAAGGCGAGGAUGUAUUUGGUUAGGUGGACUAAGAAUUUAAACUUUGAUUAACCUAAAUCUCUAUCUAACCUACAACAACUUUUUAAAUCCUAAUGUAUAAAUCUAAUUACCCAGUGUUUUAUCCAUAUUUCACUUUUUACACACAUCUAUGCAUCUUUAACUAAUUCACAUCAUAUAUGCACCUAUUUCUAAAAAGAGUAAACUAAUAAAAAUACAUCUAAAUAAUUUUGUCCCUAACAAAAAUACACCCAAAUUUUAUUAUCGAAAAAAAUGCUCUCAAAUAAUUUAAAUACGAC